RNAcentral lists this transfer RNA (73 nucleotides) under Telmatocola sphagniphila. It matches the Rfam family "tRNA". From Rfam's summary of the family: Transfer RNA (tRNA) molecules are approximately 80 nucleotides in length. Their secondary structure includes four short double-helical elements and three loops (D, anti-codon, and T loops). Lineage: Bacteria; Pseudomonadati; Planctomycetota; Planctomycetia; Gemmatales; Gemmataceae. The record is from Rfam by way of RNAcentral.
GCCCCUUUAGCUCAGUUGGUAGAGCAGCUGACUCUUAAUCAGCGGGUCCACGGUUCGAGCCCGUGAGGGGGCA